AACCUUGUGCAUGUAGGGAAUGAGCAGAAAAGAUGUCAAAAACCAGCUGUGGUUAUAACCUCAUCAAGCGCUCCAGUUUCAAAUCUUUUACCUGCUGGAAGUCUAUAAAAAAAUCAUAAUUUUUUACCCUUUUCCAUUUUUUAUAAAAAGGUGGAUAAUUUACACUUUUACAGGUAGUGGAAUCUUCUCAAGAUUUUUUACCUCUUCUAUUACUCACAACGGAUCGCCCCCCUGAGCUUUUGGAAAGUGGAGCCAACCAAGCAAUUAACCAACUUAUAUAUCUAGAAAGGAACACACAGUACUUUUGAACAACAAGAAUGGGCAGCUAAAAUUGUUGAUUCUUUGAAGGUAUAAUGUCCUUAUUCAGACAACAAUUAAUGUGAAAAAAGAAAGAAUUCAAUAAUCAAAUACUUUUUUGAUGAUUUUUUUAUGUUGUCUUUGAUGAGCAUGGGGUAUAAUCAAAAUUCCAAAAUGAAGGAACAGAAAGCUGAUCAACGUUUUGGCUUGGAUUUGGAGGGAACCAAAGCUUCACUAGCACCAAAGUAUCACUGGAGACUUCUAGAUUUCCUCACUUGUUUGCAUUCUCGCUUAUUAAAGGUUUCAAUUUCACAAACAUAUAAUAAUACCACUUUAGUUUUACUUUUUUUUUCUUUUAUUAUUAUUGUUAAUUAAGAUUGAAGAAGUUUACAACUUUGAUCAAGAUGACCUGUUGCCCGAGGAUAUGUUGAUAUUAGAUACACAUGCUGAGGUGUUCGUUUGGAUCUCAUGAUGGAUUGUCGCCACAUGGAACAGGCACGCCAAGUUGAUCAGGCACGCCAAGUUGACGCAAAUAAGAAUCCAGAUGAUCCUCAAGCUGCAGAAAGAUUUCAGGAAAGUAUUUGAUCCUUCAUUAGAAAAUAAAAGGUAACUAUAAAGGGUAUUUCUGGCUGAAUGAGUACGAAACUAAGGGCAUUUAUGGAAAUCAUAGAUUACUGCAGCAAAAGGUAACUAUAAAGGGUUAAUUGCAAGAAAAAAAAGUACAAUUGAUGUAAUGGAAAUAAAUGAAAGCAUGAUGAUGUAAUCUACAAAGAGAUAAAGGUAGAUUGCUAUCGCUUGUAACUAGUACUAAAAAAAUGUUAUCUUAAUUUACUUUUUUUUUUCUUUUGGAUGAAUUUGAUUUUAGAAAUACAUAGAAUGGGCUGGAUCUCUUGAUGGAUUGUCGCCAUAUGUGCCAUUAUACAAAGUAAUGGAGGAAAAUGAACCUUGUUUCUUCACAACAUAUUUCUCAUGGGAUCCUUCUAAACCAUCAUUGCUGUUGCUGAUUGGCUUCAAGAGUUAUAAUGAAUGAUGAGACUGUGCAUCAGUUGUGUAAACAGGCUGUUUCACAGUACACUAUAGAGGAGAAAGUCAUUGAAAGAGCUUAUAAAAAGCUUGCACUUGAUGCUUUGGUUAUUCAACAAUGACGUUUAGCUGAGCAAAAGACUAUAAACAAAGAUGAGAUGCUACAAAUGAUGAGGUUUGGUGCUGAAAUGGUAUUCAAUUCAAAGGAUAGUACAAUCACAGAUGAAGAUAUCGAUAGAAUCGUUGCUAAAGGAGAAAAGGCGACUGCUGGGCUGUUGGAAGUUGGAACUUUGUGAAUGAUUUUGUAAAUGCUGGCUUUGGUCAGGUAUUUAAUAUUUUCAACUACUUUUGUCAAAAUAAAUAAAUAAUCUAAUAAUUCAAUUUAUGUUUCUCUUUUUAAGGAUAAACUAAAGAGGUUCAUAUGGCCUUCUAGUUGGAGAAAUAAAGUUGAUCUUGCAUUAGGAGAUAUACAUGUUGCAAAGUGUAUCAAGUCUGACUACCCAUGUGUCCCACUGGAGGAAGCUCAAGGUUCUUUACUUCUCUUACAAUGUAAUAAUCCAUCUUCACACAUAUUUUGUAUUUUCUUUUCUUUUCUUUUUUUGCAGGUAAUAUAGAUACUUUGAGCAAGUUCAUAGAUUUAGAGUCAUUGAGUGGUGUUACUAAGGAAGAGUGGACACAAUUGAGGCACACAUUUAAAAAAAUCAGCACAAAUCUUGUUUAUAGUGAGGCACACAUUAGGUUACUAGAACUAUUAGUUUGUAAAUUUUUGUUACAACUCUACUGAUUUGUUUUAUCUUUUUAUGGAACGAUUAUUUGUAUGACAUUAAAUCUUAUGCAAUGGAUUGUAUUUUUUGUA
Molecule: long non-coding RNA, 2176 nt
Organism: Lactuca sativa (garden lettuce)
Lineage: Eukaryota; Viridiplantae; Streptophyta; Magnoliopsida; Asterales; Asteraceae
Source: RefSeq, a predicted model, not a curated record